CAUGCUUUAACAUGCAGUCGAACGGUAGCGGGGAAGAAGCUUGCUUCUUCUGCCGACGAGUGGCGAACGGGUGAGUAAUAUAUCGGAACGUGCCAAGUAAUGGGGGAUAACUAUCCGAAAGGAUGGCUAAUACCGCAUACGCUCUACGGAGGAAAGCAGGGGAUCUUCGGACCUUGCGUUAUUUGAGCGGCCGAUAUCUGAUUAGCUAGUUGGUGGGGUAAGAGCCUACCAAGGCAACGAUCAGUAGCGGGUCUGAGAGGAUGAUCCGCCACACUGGGACUGAGACACGGCCCAGACUCCUACGGGAGGCAGCAGUGGGGAAUUUUGGACAAUGGGCGAAAGCCUGAUCCAGCCAUGCCGCGUGUAUGAAGAAGGCCUUAGGGUUGUAAAGUACUUUUGUUAGGGAGGAAAAGCUAUAGGUUAAUACCCUGUAGUCAUGACAGUACCUAAAGAAUAAGCACCGGCUAACUACGUGCCAGCAGCCGCGGUAAUACGUAGGGUGCAAGCGUUAAUCGGAAUUACUGGGCGUAAAGCGAGUGCAGGCGGUUUGUUAAGCUAGAUGUGAAAGCCCCGGGCUCAACCUGGGAAUUGCGUUUAGAACUGGCAAGCUAGAGUGUGUCAGAGGGGGGUAGAAUUCCACGUGUAGCAGUGAAAUGCGUAGAGAUGUGGAGGAAUACCGAUGGCGAAGGCAGCCCCCUGGGAUAACACUGACGCUCAUACUCGAAAGCGUGGGUAGCAAACAGGAUUAGAUACCCUGGUAGUCCACGCCCUAAACGAUGACAAUUAGCUGUUGGGGAAUUAAAAGUCCUUGGUAGCGUAGCUAACGCGUGAAAUUGUCCGCCUGGGGAGUACGGUCGCAAGAUUAAAACUCAAAGGAAUUGACGGGGACCCGCACAAGCGGUGGAUGAUGUGGAUUAAUUCGAUGCAACGCGAGAACC
This 938-nucleotide ribosomal RNA is filed under the name uncultured bacterium. Its description in RNAcentral is "bacterial SSU rRNA". It matches the Rfam family "Bacterial small subunit ribosomal RNA", at positions 43 to 969 of the family's 1533-position model. The record is from RNAcentral.